ACAACUGGGAGGAACUUCCUAUAUUUCCCGGUGUGCUUAGGAGGCUUCUCGCCUGGCAGUUUCUUGUCAAAUUUCCCACCACUAGCGGUUGAUGUCGAUGCCAUCCCAGCUACGCUGGUGAGGUCUUCUUUGCUAGCUUUCUUCGGUGCAUCUGUCUGAGAUCCUGUGAUGGGCAGUGCUGUUGCCGCAAGUUGCACAUGGCUUGGCAAGGCACCGGCUUUCAUUGCCUGUUUUAGAUUCUGCAGCCGGUUCUUCUCCUGCUUUCCAACUCGUUCCUUCUUCUCAGUCUUCCUUUUGCUGAAUGGAUCCUGCCCAGGCUCAUCUGUUGGUUUGGCCUCGAUGAUUGGAAUGUCCUCG
Molecule: unclassified non-coding RNA, 357 nt
Filed under: Hevea brasiliensis (rubber tree)
Lineage: Eukaryota; Viridiplantae; Streptophyta; Magnoliopsida; Malpighiales; Euphorbiaceae
Source: RNAcentral